ACGGAAGGCAGCAGUGGGGAAUAUUGGGCAAUGGGGGCAAGCCUGACCCAGCAACGCCGCGUGAAGGAAGAAGGCCUUCGGGUUGUAAACUUCUUUUAUAGGGGACGAAACAAAUGACGGUACCCUAUGAAUAAGCCACGGCUAACUACGUGCCAGCAGCCGCGGUAAUACGUAGGUGGCGAGCGUUGUCCGGAUUGACUGGGUGUAAAGGGCGCGUAGGCGGGAUGGUAGGUCAGAUGUGAAAUUCAUGGGCUCAACCUAGGAAUUGCAUUUGAAACUGUCGUUCUUGAGUGUCGGAGAGGCAAGCGGAAUUCCUAGUGUAGCGGUGAAAUGCGUAGAUAUUAGGAGGAACACCAGUGGCGAAGGCGGCUUGCUGGACGAUAACUGACGCUGAGGCGCGAAAGCGUGGGGAGCAAACAGGAUUAGAUACCCUGGUA
Molecule: ribosomal RNA, 437 nt
Filed under: uncultured Oscillospiraceae bacterium
Lineage: Bacteria; Bacillati; Bacillota; Clostridia; Eubacteriales; Oscillospiraceae
Description: bacterial SSU rRNA
Rfam family: Bacterial small subunit ribosomal RNA
Source: RNAcentral